Molecule: ribosomal RNA, 207 nt
Filed under: uncultured bacterium
Lineage: Bacteria
Description: partial 16S ribosomal RNA
Rfam family: Bacterial small subunit ribosomal RNA
Source: RNAcentral
AGCGCAGGCGGGAAGACAAGUUGGGAGUGAAGUCCAUGGGCUCAACCCAUGAACUGCUUUCAAAACUGUUUUUCUUGAGUAGUGCAGAGGUAGGCGGAAUUCCCGGUGUAGCGGUGGAAUGCGUAGAUAUCGGGAGGAACACCAGUGGCGAAGGCGGCCUACUGGGCACCAACUGACGCUGAGGCUCGAAAGUGUAGGUAGCAAACA